CCUAUGAAGCUUUACUGUAACCUGAAAUUGAAAUCGGACUUUAUUCGCGCAGUAUAGGUGGGAGGUAUUGAAAAUAUUCUUGCGGGAGUAUUGGAGCCAUCAGUGAGAUACCACUCUUGUAAUGUUAGGUUUCUAACUUUGAACCAUUAUCUGGUCAAAGAACAGUUUCAGGCGGGCAGUUUGACUGGGGCGGUCGCCUCCCAAAUGGUAACGGAGGCGUACAAAGGUUUCCUCUGAACGUGUAGAAAUCGUAUCUAGAGUGUAAAGGCAUAAGGAAGCUUGACUGUGAGACCUACAAGUCGAGCAGGGACGAAAGUCGGUCUUAGUGAUCUGACGGUACUGAGUGGAAAGG
Molecule: ribosomal RNA, 352 nt
Filed under: Guinardia striata
Lineage: Eukaryota; Bacillariophyta; Coscinodiscophyceae; Rhizosoleniales; Rhizosoleniaceae
Description: bacterial LSU rRNA
Rfam family: Bacterial large subunit ribosomal RNA
Source: RNAcentral